GACGAACGCUGGCGGCGUGCUUAACACAUGCAAGUCGAACGGAAAGGUCCUGCUCUUGCGGGGUGCUCGAGUGGCGAACGGGUGUGUAACACGUGAGUAACCUGUCCCUGUCUUUGGGAUAACUUUAGGAAACUGGGGCUAAUACCGGAUAGGAGCUCCCGCUGCACGGUGGGGGUUGGAAAGUUUCGGCGGUUGGGGAUGGACUCGCGGCUUAUCAGCUUUUUUGUGGGGUAGUGGCUUACCAAGGCUUUGACGGGUAGCCGGCCUGAGAGGGUGACCGGCGACCUUGGGACUGAGAUACGGCGCAGACUCCUACGGGAGGCAGCAGUGGGGAAUAUUGCACAGUGGGCGGACGCCUGAUGCAGCAACGCCGCGUGCGGGAUGACGGCCUUCGAGGUGUAAACCGCUUUCGACUGUGACGAAGCGUGAGUGACGGUAAUGGGUAAAAAAGCACCGGCUAACUACGUG
RNAcentral lists this ribosomal RNA (468 nucleotides) under uncultured bacterium. RNAcentral's name for it is "partial 16S ribosomal RNA". It matches the Rfam family "Bacterial small subunit ribosomal RNA", at positions 28 to 507 of the family's 1533-position model. The record is from RNAcentral.